This 655-nucleotide ribosomal RNA is filed under the name Shewanella sp. 1830. Its description in RNAcentral is "bacterial SSU rRNA". It matches the Rfam family "Bacterial small subunit ribosomal RNA", at positions 802 to 1456 of the family's 1533-position model. The record is from RNAcentral. Lineage: Bacteria; Pseudomonadati; Pseudomonadota; Gammaproteobacteria; Alteromonadales; Shewanellaceae.
GUAAACGAUGUCUACUCGGAGUUUGGUGUCUUGAACACUGGGCUCUCAAGCUAACGCAUUAAGUAGACCGCCUGGGGAGUACGGCCGCAAGGUUAAAACUCAAAUGAAUUGACGGGGGCCCGCACAAGCGGUGGAGCAUGUGGUUUAAUUCGAUGCAACGCGAAGAACCUUACCUACUCUUGACAUCCAGAGAAUUCGCUAGAGAUAGCUUAGUGCCUUCGGGAACUCUGAGACAGGUGCUGCAUGGCUGUCGUCAGCUCGUGUUGUGAAAUGUUGGGUUAAGUCCCGCAACGAGCGCAACCCUUAUCCUUAUUUGCCAGCACGUAAUGGUGGGAACUUUAGGGAGACUGCCGGUGAUAAACCGGAGGAAGGUGGGGACGACGUCAAGUCAUCAUGGCCCUUACGAGUAGGGCUACACACGUGCUACAAUGGUCGGUACAGAGGGUUGCGAAGCCGCGAGGUGGAGCUAAUCUCACAAAGCCGGUCGUAGUCCGGAUCGGAGUCUGCAACUCGACUCCGUGAAGUCGGAAUCGCUAGUAAUCGUGAAUCAGAAUGUCACGGUGAAUACGUUCCCGGGCCUUGUACACACCGCCCGUCACACCAUGGGAGUGGGCUGCACCAGAAGUAGAUAGCUUAACCUUCGGGAGGGCGUUUA